Molecule: ribosomal RNA, 269 nt
Filed under: uncultured Algoriphagus sp.
Lineage: Bacteria; Pseudomonadati; Bacteroidota; Cytophagia; Cytophagales; Cyclobacteriaceae
Description: partial 16S ribosomal RNA
Rfam family: Bacterial small subunit ribosomal RNA
Source: RNAcentral
GUUGCCAGCAUGUAAUGUGGGGACGUCUAGACAGACUGCCUGCGCAAGCAGAGAGGAAGAGGGGAUGACGUCAGGUCAUCAUGGCCCUUACGCCCAGGGCGACACACGUGCUACAAUGGCGCAUACAGCGGGUAGCUACCUGGCAACAGGAUGCCAACCUCUAAAAGUGCGUCUCAGUUCGGAUCGGGGUCUGCAACUCGACCCCGUGAAGCUGGAAUCGCUAGUAAUCGCGCAUCAGCCAUGGCGCGGUGAAUACGUUCCCGGACCUU